ACGGCUUAGUUUCCCUAUUUCUGCCCAUUCUUCAAUGGAUCCUCUCAAAAAGGUUCAAUGGAAUAUCUUAUCGUUGAGUUUGGUGUUGAAGCUGUGAAAGUCAGUGAUCCCAUUGAGGCAAAGUUAUAAAUUAUUGAAAUAUUAUCCUUGUUAAAUUUUUCACAUUCGGUUGCUGUUGUUGAGAGAUCUUGUACAUAUUGUGUUUGAGCCAUGGGCUAUUUAUUGUGGAAAUACUAUUAUUGUUGACUUCUUUGGCAAGUUAUGAUAUUGUGCACUUGAGAUGCGAUUUGUGAUAUUGAUACGCAUGCGAUGAUAUAAGGAUAGAGGUUGAAACACACGCGGUGAGAUAAGGUGGGCUUGAUACGCGUGUUGCUAGUAGGGGAACUACUUGAAGCCACGCGGUGUGAUAAGGUAGGCUAAAAUACGAGAAGCUAUUUUGGAAAAAUAAUUAUUAAAAUUAAAUGCAAGGCUCCCGCGGUUGUAUAAGGAAAGAUUGUGAUUUAAUUUGUGAAACGAGACUAUGAGACGGUACAUCGGUAGCGAUUCUUGUUGCUAUCUUUAAUUGUCUUAAUUUCAGUGUAGCUAUCCUUGUUAUUUUUCUUCAUUGUAUCAUUUCCAUUAUUAUACUGUACUAUGCCUGUUCAGUUUCUUUAUUUAUUCCAGUAGGUGUCUUGACCUGACCUCGUCACUACUCUACCGAGUUUAGGCUUGAUACUUACUGGGUACCGUUGUGGUUUGCUCAUACUAUACUUCUGCAUAUCUUUUCGUGUAGAUCCAGGUACUUCAUACCAGCCUAGACAUCCGUGAGUUGAGCUUGGAUCAGAGACUUUAAGGUAUAUCUGUCGGCGUUCGUCGGCCUUGGAGUCAUCCUCUAUCUAGUUUCUACUUCGUUCUCUUUUUAUAGAUAUUGUUGUAUAGGGAUGCUCAAUAUACUCGUGUAGAGCUUGUGACUCGGUCUCACCAGAUUUUGGGUGUUGUAUUCAAUUGUAUUGUGGAGUCCUUUUUAUGAUAGUUGUUGGUUUAAUUGGGAGUUUUAUUAUUAUUUUCGUUUAUU
Molecule: long non-coding RNA, 1054 nt
Filed under: Nicotiana tabacum (common tobacco)
Lineage: Eukaryota; Viridiplantae; Streptophyta; Magnoliopsida; Solanales; Solanaceae
Description: long non-coding RNA (NTAB_LNC016950)
Source: RNAcentral